CUUUCAAGCUUUCGGGCGUGAAAGAAAAGGUAGCUUCGGCCUCCGAUCGAGGAUGAGCCCGCGGUGGAUUAGCUUGUUGGCGGGGUAAUGGCCCACCAAGGCGACGAUCCAUAGCUGGUCUGAGAGGACGAUCAGCCACACUGGGACUGAGACACGGCCCAGACUCCUACGGGAGGCAGCAGUGGGGAAUCUUGCGCAAUGGGCGAAAGCCUGACGCAGCGACGCCGCGUGGGGGAAGAAGGCCUUAGGGUUGUAAACCUCUUUCAGGUGGGACGAAGCCACUCGGGUUAAUAGCCCAGAGGGUGACGGUACCGCCAGAAGAAGCCCCGGCUAACUACGUGCCAGCAGCCCGGUAAUACGUAGGGGGCAAGCGUUGUCCGGAUUUAUUG
Molecule: ribosomal RNA, 389 nt
Filed under: uncultured bacterium
Lineage: Bacteria
Description: bacterial SSU rRNA
Rfam family: Bacterial small subunit ribosomal RNA
Source: RNAcentral